AUACGUAGGGGGCAAGCGUUGUCCGGAUUUAUUGGGCGUAAAGGGUUCGCAGGCGGCCUUUUAAGUCAGAUGUGAAAGCCCACGGCUCAACCGUGGUAAGCAUUUGAAACUGGAAGGCUUGAGUUAAGGAGAGGAAAGUGGAAUUCCUAGUGUAGCGGUGAAAUGCGUAGAUAUUAGGAGGAAUACCAGUGGCGAAGGCGACUUUCUGGACUUAUACUGACGCUGAGGAACGAAAGCGUGGGGAGC
This 246-nucleotide ribosomal RNA is filed under the name uncultured bacterium. RNAcentral's name for it is "partial 16S ribosomal RNA". It matches the Rfam family "Bacterial small subunit ribosomal RNA", at positions 523 to 769 of the family's 1533-position model. The record is from RNAcentral.